UCAGGAUGAACGCUAGCGGGAGGCCUAACACAUGCAAGCCGAGCGGUAGAGAUUCUUCGGGAUCUUGAGAGCGGCGUACGGGUGCGGAACACGUGUGCAACCUGCCUUUAUCAGGGGGAUAGCCUUUCGAAAGGAAGAUUAAUACCCCAUAAUAUAUUGAAUGGCAUCAUUUGAUAUUGAAAACUCCGGUGGAUAGAGAUGGGCACGCGCAAGAUUAGAUAGUUGGUAGGGUAACGGCCUACCAAGUCAAUGAUCUUUAGGGGGCCUGAGAGGGUGAUCCCCCACACUGGUACUGAGACACGGACCAGACUCCUACGGGAGGCAGCAGUGAGGAAUAUUGGACAAUGGGUGAGAGCCUGAUCCAGCCAUCCCGCGUGAAGGACGACGGCCCUAUGGGUUGUAAACUUCUUUUGUAUAGGGAUAAACCUUUCCACGUGUGGAAAGCUGAAGGUACUAUACGAAUAAGCACCGGCUAACUCCGUGCCAGCAGCCGCGGUAAUACGGAGGGUGCAAGCGUUAUCCGGAUUUAUUGGGUUUAAAGGGUCCGUAGGCGGAUCUGUAAGUCAGUGGUGAAAUCUCAUAGCUUAACUAUGAAACUGCCAUUGAUACUGCAGGUCUUGAGUAAAGUAGAAGUGGCUGGAAUAAGUAGUGUAGCGGUGAAAUGCAUAGAUAUUACUUAGAACACCAAUUGCGAAGGCAGGUCACUAUGUUUAACUGACGCUGAUGCAC
Molecule: ribosomal RNA, 729 nt
Filed under: Chryseobacterium sp. CI30
Lineage: Bacteria; Pseudomonadati; Bacteroidota; Flavobacteriia; Flavobacteriales; Weeksellaceae
Description: bacterial SSU rRNA
Rfam family: Bacterial small subunit ribosomal RNA
Source: RNAcentral